This 105-nucleotide ribosomal RNA is filed under the name Clostridioides difficile. RNAcentral describes it as "partial 16S ribosomal RNA". It matches the Rfam family "Bacterial small subunit ribosomal RNA", at positions 1 to 112 of the family's 1533-position model. Lineage: Bacteria; Bacillati; Bacillota; Clostridia; Peptostreptococcales; Peptostreptococcaceae. The record is from RNAcentral.
UUUUAUUUGAGAGUUUGAUCCUGGCUCAGGAUGAACGCUGGCGGCGUGCCGAACACAUGCAAGUUGAGCGAUUUACUUCGGGAAAGAGCGGCGGACGGGUGAGUA